Molecule: non-coding RNA, 6374 nt
Organism: Xyrichtys novacula (pearly razorfish)
Lineage: Eukaryota; Metazoa; Chordata; Actinopteri; Labriformes; Labridae
Source: the annotation of a GenBank genome assembly
UGCUUUGCCGGUUAAAUGUGGCCUGUUUUCUGCUGCCUCGUCUAACUUUUUCAGCUGUGUGUGUAUGUGUGUGUUUCAUCAUAUGUGAUGACUCAUUGUAUGAUACCUCAUUGUAAGACACCUUUAUUCACGCCUUUAAGGCAGAUGAUCUGUGGUGACGUCUGUGAGGCUCCGCCUGCACAUAUAUAUGUGUAACACCACAGUAAUCCUUCAGUUCGAUAGCCGCUCUUCACCGAGCCUAGCUGCACAGUGGGGCAACCCAGUGUUGUACCUCGUUCCUCUCCUUCAGGGAACAGAAGUUAUAUUCAUAACAUUUCGUUCCCUUUCAGUCGAUUCACUCGGUACAACACAUAUAGUAUGGGACAUAUAUACACGCCCCACAGAGCAGCCACCGAACCGAAGUCAAACCUCCAAAACUUUAGUGCACUGUAGACCCAGCAGAAAGGACAGAGUGAGCCACUGAAGGGGCUGUCCCAUCCAAACAAUAAAACCGAACAAAACUGUGCGGUGAUGAUCAACUGGCUGCAGUGCAGAUAUCACUCACAGAAACCCCUUUAAACAAGGCCCAUGAGGCUGCCAUUCCCCUUGUUGAAUGUGCCCUCACACCUUGGGGCAACGGAAGACCCCUGCUGCCGUAUGCUAAGGAGAUAGCCUCCACAACCCAGCGGUAAAGCUGCUGUUUAGACAGCGCCUUGCCUUCGGCUGGAUUAGCAAAACAGACUAACAACUGGUCACAUAAGCGCACACUCUGAGUGCGGUCUAUGUAAGCGCGUAGUGCACGCACAGGGCACAAGGAAUGCAACCUCCUCUGCUCCUCAGAUGCAAAUGGAGGGGGGCAGAAGCUCAGCAGUUCAAAACUCAUAGAGCUAUAGGCUGUGGGGAUAAUCUUAGGUAAAUACGCCGCGUUUGGGCGCAGUGUAGCCUUAGAUCCAUCCGGAGUGAACUGGGUACAAGAGGGAUGCACAGACAAAACAUGAAGGUCACCCACUCGCUUUGCAGACACCAAAGCAAGUAGCAGUGCAGUUUUGUAUGAAAGAAACUUCAUGUCUGCUGACUCAACAGGAUCAAAUGAGGUCCACCAAGAACCUCAAGCACCAACCCUAAAUCCCAUGAGGGAAUACUGGAUUUAAGAACAGGUCUCAGCCUGCGGACUCCCUUUAGGAAGCGCAUAGCAAGAGGAUGAGCGCCUGGCGUCAUACCAUCAAAGCCAACAUGGCAUGCAGAUAUAGCCGCCAAAUAGACCUUAAUUGUUGAGAAAUAGAGACCCCUAUCCAGCAGGUCCUGAAGGAAUGUUAAAACAUCCACAAUAGAACUCUGAAAUGGGAGUACAUUUCGGUCCUGACAUGCAAUCUCUACUCUCUCACAUGAGGACCCCCCCUGGAGAGAAGGUCUGGCCCAAGGUUUAAGUGACCCAGAAUAUGUGUGGCUCUGAGUGACAGAAAAUGAACACUGCACCAUAGCAACAGAGAGUGAGACAGUUUUAACAGGGGAAGAGAGCAUGUCCCUCCCUGUUUGUUUAUGUAGGAAACCAUGGUUGUGUUGUCCGUCCUGAUAAGAAUAUGAUGGCCCGUCAGAACAGAACGAAAAUGCCUCAGAGCUAAUAGGAUAGCUUAUAGCUCAAGAUAAUUGGUGUGGAGUUUGCAUUGUGAUGGCGUCCACACACCUCUCACUGCUGCGCCCUCGCACAGAGCCCCCCAACCCCUCAGGGAUGCGUCAGUGGACACCACCUUGCGAAAAGACACCCUCCCUAUCGGAGAUCCCCGUUGUAGAAAACCGGGUUCUCUCCACGGGAGAAGAGCCGACAUGCUGGACGGAGUUGUUGUCAGCCUCCUCUGGAGGUGACGCUGCGUGCACAGCCGGUGAGACUGAGUCCAGCGUUGAAACGCUCUCAUCUUUAACAGUCCGUGCGGCACUACAGCGAUCAUAGAUGCCAUCAUGCCUGUCAGCUGUAAAAUCGUCCGGAAACACAGUUUGCGUCCCAACUGAAAUUGUGCAAGGCAGCGGCGAAACGCAGCCACCCUGCGUUCUGACAGACGUGCUCGGCUUGAAACGGAGCAUAUUUCCAGCCCGAGAAAUGAUACCUGUUGACUCGGAGUCAGUGAACUUUUCUGUAAAUUUACGGAAAAGCCCAGUGUUUGGAUGUGUGAUAGGGUCAAUGACAGCUGAGCCGCUGCUCGCUCUCUGGAACGCGCAAUUAGCACCCAGUCGUCCAGAUAGGCUAAGAUGUGAACACCUUUCUCCCUUAGUGGAGCCAAUGCCGCCUCGACACAUUUGGUGAAUGUUCGGGGGCGAGUGAUAAGCCGAACGGCAGCACCAGGUAUUCGUAGGCUAUGCCCUCGAAUGCAAACCUUAGAAACUGCCUGUGGUCCGGAUGAAUCGCUACGUGAAAGUAAGCAUCUGUCAGAUCGAUAGUUGUAAACCAAUCUCCCGGUCUGAUUUCGCCCAGUAGCUGUCUGAGUGUUAGCAUCUUGAACCUGUAAGUUCGUAGGUAUUUGUUUAACACUCGCAAGUCUAAGAUAGGAUGGAGCCCUCCUCCUUUUUUCGGAACAACGAAAUCACAGCUGUACCAACCUUUGUUCGUUUCCGAGCGGGAACAACUCGUAUCGCUCUCUUGUUCAACAAGUUGUUUAUUUCUUCCCUCAGCACUGCUGCUGCUUCCUCUGCUACAACUGUGUGUAUUACAGUAUGAAAGCGAGGUGGCCAGGCCCUGAACUGUAAGCGGUAGCCCAUGGCAACGGUUCUCUCUACCCACGGUGAGACUGCGCAUGUGCGCCACCGAGGGAGAUGAACAGUCAGUUGACUGACCUCCAGCACUGAGGGGGAGGGGUUGUCGCCCUCUAGCGUGCCGGCUGGGAACAGCAAUACUUUCCCGCCCAGACUUGAUUGAUUUAUGAUGUUUUGAGAACAAAACGAAACCUUUAUUAGACUCGACGAACGUACAUUUGUGACAUUCACACAGUGAACAACAGGCGCCAUUACUGAGGCAUGUGUGUGAGGGAGGGUUGUGCUUGGGAAAACUGUGUUAAGGGAGUGCAGCGCCUCUCGGGACCGGACCCCUGAACAGACAUUAAACAAACACAAAGCAGCCUCUUUGGCUGCAAAAAAUGAAGGGCGGCAGCGUCUCUGCCGGUUUGUGCAGAUAACCCUGUUGUUUGGGCCUCGCAUCACGUCUGGGGAUGAUGCUGCUCAAAGCUUCGGUUUGUUUCUUCCUCAGCUCAAAAUUAGCCUGAAUGUCGUCGAGGGAUUGCCCAAACAAACUGCUGGCCGACACAGGCUCGUCAAGUGAAACCGCUCUGUCCCUCUCCGGAACGUCGGAGAGAGUCAGCCACAGGUGCCUCUGCGCCACCACCGUGGAAGCCAUGCCUCUACCGAGAAAGAGCGCUGCACAGCGGGACACACGGAGGAUGUAAUCUGUGGCGACCCUAGCUUCAUUGAGGAGAGGAGAAAGCGGACUGUCAGGAGGCAUACGCAAGCCGAGUUCCACCAGACACAUAGCCUGAUAUGUCUGAAGCAUGGUGACGGAGCUCAGUGCACGAGCCCUAUUUGCCUGUGUCCUGUAAAUUUUAUCCAGCUCUGACGCUGAAAACCUGCAGUGCUUGGAUGGGAGCGUGAUGGGGCUACCGACACCAUGAUUCUGGGCCGGGGCCAGACAGGCUGCCAGGGACGCCUCCAUAGGCGGAGGGUUCACCAAUCCAGCUUUUUCAGCUCCAUCCAGGUCCAGAAACUGUCCACAACCGGGCACUGUGGCGCGGGUGGACAGCAGCUUGUCCCAUGUCGAGGUUACUUCCACGACAAAAUCCAGGAACAUGGGCAAACUGUUCUUAACAGUCGUCGGUUCAUACAGAAAAAACCCUGUGAACCGCAACGGUUUUUGAGCCGGUGGAGGAGAGGGCCAUUCUACUUCCAGUUUCUCAGCUGCAUGGCGGUACAGUGAGAGGACAGAUGUGUCGUCCAGAUCAACCGGCACAGCAGCGGCGGUAUACUGACCUGAAGACAACGGCUCCAGCUCAUCUUCCGAAAAACCCUGCACGUCCAGGCCGAUGUCCAGCACGUCAUCGUCCUCCUGGUAACAAGCUAGCCCGGAUAGCGGCUGGCCAGUGCCCUCAGAGGGGCCCGGCUCAAAUACAGCUGACCCAUCAGCACACUCCACAUGGUUCCAACUGAGCCUUCGACCAGAAAGUCCUCACCACCGGACUCGGAGGAAGCCGGGUCUCUGGACUCAGAGAGGAGGGGAUCGUGCAGCACAACAGCGGAUUUUCCUAGUAUUUUCUCCACAAAAUUUACCCGCCUUCCCAGGGUUGAGCUCCGAAGCCGGUGACAGGACUCACACGACUCGGGCUCAGUCAACGCCCUCCUGGCGUGGACAAUACCCAGGCAAACGGGACAAGCCUCAUGGAGAUCCUUCUCGUGAAGGGAAAAGCCGCACCCCUAAGGACAGUGGCGAACAGAAGACUUUGCCUUCACUUUCAUGGGCUCAGCGCUCAUAACAAGAAGCAGAAGCUGAACGAAAUUAGAAUGAAAAAUUUAACACCAACAGGGGCAGUUAAGCUAAAAACGAUCAGGCAAUAGCCACAGACAAGACCAGGCUGAGCUAGCAGCAGCUAGUUAGCCCGACUCGGUGGAGGUGUUCUCAGCGAGGUGAAGAGCAUACGAACUGAAGGAUGACUGUGGUGUUACACAUAUAUAUGUGCAGGCGGAGCCUCACAAACGUCACCACAGAUCAUCUGCCUUAAAGGCGUGAAUAAAGGUGUCUUCAGUCAGGCCACGCGAGGGCGUGAUAUCCCAUACUAUAUGUGUUGUGCCGAGUGAAUGGACUGAAAGGGAACUACAGAGUAAUAAGUAAAAGUGUAAAUCAAUAAUGAUAUUUGUAUGACUAAGUGUGACUCACAGGCAUUAUUUGUGGAUUUGAGCGAUGCACGUGACUGCGCAUGGAGUAUGAAUGAAACUGAUACGGUAAGCGUGGCUUAAGUGUGCCGUAGAGCUCCCAUACAAUCUUAAAAGAUGUGUCAGUAACAGUGUCAGUUUUCACAAGAAUUUGAAAUUAGCUCCACUUUGAUUCAUUUUCAGAAAAGUGUGGUUGAUUUUGGUCAAAGAUUUAGGCAAUAAAACCUCAGUUUUAAUCCCAUUUUAGUCAGUGUUUCUAAUCAGUCUGAUUUCAAAGUUUUAGUCCGUCUCUGAACACAGAAAAUUACAGCAACUUUUAUCAAAUAAACAAACCUGAUCCUUACACCAGAGUCAAGCCAGACAGUUCUAACCACUAAGCUCUCAUUUUAAUUAUUAACAGCAAAUAUAACACAAAGUGUAAACUCCUGAUCAGCUGUUAUCUCGAGUUAAGUGAGGGAGUUGAGUCAUAACAACAGAGGGUCAGGGCACCAGCUGCAUGUGGGAAGUCAACACCGCCAAGACAUUUUAUAGCAUUUAUAAACGCUUAUGUGACUCUUUACAUCAUCGUUUCCACCGGAAAUUCACUUCAGAAGUUUACUAUCACGUUUUCUCCAUCUUAAAUGGACCCUGCUAGUCAAACUAUGUCAUGUUUUCUCCAAUAGAAGGUUUCUCUGCAGGUUUCCCUAUUACAUUUUCUCUGCUUUAAGAAUCUCCCUGGGGCAGGCUGUGUGUCAUACAUUAGUUAUUUUUAAAUCCCUGAUAAGGCACUCUGCAAGGUCCUUAGUCAUGUGUUCUCCACUAAAAAGGUGGAUCUGGAGGGCCCUUAAUUGUGUUCUCUCCAUCUGAAGAGUCCUAUAAAAGACACAAUAUCAUGUUUUUCUCCAUGGCAAGGGCGUCUGAAAUAUGUUUCCUUUAAGAUUUUCCUUUGAUGAUGAUGAUUGCCGAUGAUUUUAAUAACUCUUAGCCGUGAAUCCUUCAUUUGAGUGAGUACACUGUUGGGACCGCAGCAGAUUUGGGAACAGGAAGUCCUUUUGACCUAGACUCCCACCCCCUUAUGUCACUGCACUCACACUCUCAAAGGCCAAAGAACAAGGCUCCAAGUCUCCAGUACCAUCUGUGGACUUUCCCACAAUUCCCAAAGGCUGUCACCGGGCCACUGAGUUCUAACAAUAGGAGAAAACCUUCAGACCAUUAAUUUUAAAAAUGGUGUUUAUCCAGACAGACUGCUGGGUCAUUGGAUCUGUCAUAAAUCCUACAACAAACACCAAAUCUUGGAGCAAAGAUGAUCAAAUGACCUUAUGUUUAAACUAAAGCUCUACCUUCAAAUGGGCUACCUACCAAAAUAUCACAUACAAUGCAAAUGUCCCUGCUGUAGGCACUUUUGGUGGUGGAUAGAGGUCAGUGCUAAUGUGCAAACAGACCAGCCAGGCAAGUCUGACGAGGGAGGAGCAACCACGGUGAUGUGACACCAGAACAAGCAUGAACUGUUU